CUCAUUUCUAAACCCUGUCGCUUAGUGGUGGCUCUCGCCUGAAUAAAACUGGCUGUUUCUGAUGUAGAAUCAGUUUCUAUGAUAACCGAGUCGAGUGUCUAGGGGCCAAGAUUGCGUGAAAAUGCAGGCUUGACUAACAACUCUAGCUUUCCCAAGUUCUGCUGAUUUGCACAUUAACGUAAAAGGGUGUCCAUCUACUGCCGCCACAGCAAUCCCGAGCUAUUACUGCUUCAUAUGCGUGGUUGUUCUUCAUGUCCGUAGAACAUAUUCCAGAGCACCUACUUUCUCCAAGGAUUUAUCGUUUAAAUUUGACUUUGAUUCUUUCAUUUAAAUCAGGAGCGGUGACUCGUGUCUGUGACAGAGCACAAGUGAAUGCAGUUAACCAACAAUCAAUAUUUUCAAAAUCAACAAUUUCCUUCUCAUAAGCAUAAUAACAACAGAUACCAGCCAUUACAAUUCCAUAUAUUUCGUACAACAAACAUGAUUAAACAAAAAGAAAAAAGGGCUUCAAUACAAGAAAGGGAUAACAGCUUUUCUAGCCCUGGGAUAAUCUUCUCCAAACUUGUCCAGAUACCACUUAUGGUUAGCAAAUGCCCUGGGCAUUAAGUUGGCACAUGUGUAGAGGAAAAACCCAAACCCAACCCAAGACCAUGUCAUCACACUCCACCCAAGCCACUCAACAAUCUCCCCAAAAUAGUUGGGACAGCUCACCAGCUCAAACCACCCUCCUCUUGGUACCUUGUACCCACCAUUCUCUCUCUUUAACCCCAUCAAAACCCUAUCAGACCAUACAUUAAUCCACAUACCCCACAAAAACACCAAUAGCCCACCAAAAAAUUUCCACCAGAACCGCCCAUCAGUGUGAUAAUUCUCCUUGUAAUGAGACACCCACCUAGCUUGCAAGUAAGCAUUCAAUAAAUUAAACCCAAAAGCCAUCAGGGCCACACUCACUGGAAAUCCAGUACCAGAUUUGGUAUUCCGCUGAGUGGUACUCAGGUAAAGGCGAAGAGGGUAGAGGCAGGUGCGGUGGAAAUAGUGGAUGAUAAAAGGAGACAUAAGAAUCAGUGCUUUGGAAUUGGUGGCAUGUUGGCCGACAGGAAAGAGGAGAAGGGUAAGCCAGAGAGUGGGGCUUUCCAUGAGGAACCAGGCCAAAGGAGGGGAGAUAGUAGGGCCCCAGCCAGGGCGAUUAUGCUUGCCAUAUGGGGCUUGAAGGAACCUGAGGGAGAUGAAGGUGGGGGGUCCUAUAAGGAAGAAAGCAAGGAGGGCGUAAUGAAAGAGGCUCUGAUCUGAGAAAGCCAUAUUUUUUUAUUCUUGGAAGGGGACUCAAGAAUCAACGAGGGAUGCUCUAUAAAAAGGGCAUCUUUUGGAUCAUGGAAAUUUGUUGUGAUUAUUACCGCAGAAAUGGGUUGCAGAAAUGUCAAGAAAAUGAUUGCAGAGGUAAACUGUUGGGCAAUUUAAUUUGGGCUCAAUAAUUCAAGGCGGAUGUGAAUAUCCCGUUGAAAACAAGGAGUGUGUUGGAUUAGGGUCUCGCAUACUUGGACAGUGGACCCCUCUAAUUGAGGGAUUGCAUCUUGGUUGUAAAUGUGAGUAAAUUUUUUUUUUAGUAUUUAAAUUAUGCCAUAAUCUUCAACUUUUAAAACUCAACAGUUUUGUCUUUGAAUUUUGAUUGGUAGAACAUUCAAGUGUUUUCAUUUAAAUUUUCGUUGAUUCGUCCGAG
Molecule: unclassified non-coding RNA, 1717 nt
Filed under: Hevea brasiliensis (rubber tree)
Lineage: Eukaryota; Viridiplantae; Streptophyta; Magnoliopsida; Malpighiales; Euphorbiaceae
Source: RNAcentral